ACGCUCGACACCUACGGGGCAGCAGUGGGGAAUAUUGCACAAUGGGGGAAACCCUGAUGCAGCGACGCCGCGUGAAGGAUGAAGUAUUUCGGUAUGUAAACUUCUAUCAGCAGGGAAGAAAGUGACGGUACCUGACUAAGAAGCCCCGGCUAACUACGUGCUAGCAGCCGCGGUAAUCUGAGCGGGCUGGCAAGGC
RNAcentral lists this ribosomal RNA (196 nucleotides) under uncultured bacterium. Its description in RNAcentral is "partial 16S ribosomal RNA". It matches the Rfam family "Bacterial small subunit ribosomal RNA", at positions 326 to 539 of the family's 1533-position model. The record is from RNAcentral.